RNAcentral lists this ribosomal RNA (373 nucleotides) under uncultured bacterium. RNAcentral describes it as "bacterial SSU rRNA". It matches the Rfam family "Bacterial small subunit ribosomal RNA", at positions 524 to 898 of the family's 1533-position model. The record is from RNAcentral.
UACGUAGGGGGCAAGCGUUAUCCGGAAUUACUGGGUGUAAAGGGAGCGUAGGCGGUAUGAUAAGCCAGAUGUGAAAGCCCGAAGCUUAACUUCGAGGAUUGCAUUUGGAACUAUCAAACUAGAGUACAGGAGAGGUAAGUGGAAUUCCUAGUGUAGCGGUGAAAUGCGUAGAUAUUAGGAAGAACACCAGUGGCGAAGGCGACUUACUGGACUGAAACUGACGCUGAGGCUCGAAAGCGUGGGGAGCGAACAGGAUUAGAUACCCUGGUAGUCCACGCUGUAAACGAUGAGUGCUAGGUGUCGGAGGGGAACCUUCGGUGCCGCAGCUAACGCAAUAAGCACUCCACCUGGGGAGUACGAUCGCAAGAUUGAA